GGCGGGUCCCUGCGCAUUGCGGUGUGACCAAUCUGGUCAGGUCGGGAACGAAGCAGCCACAGUCAUUUCCCGUAAGUGCCGCAGAUCAGGCUCGCCAAC
Molecule: signal recognition particle RNA, 99 nt
Filed under: Sapientia aquatica
Lineage: Bacteria; Pseudomonadati; Pseudomonadota; Betaproteobacteria; Burkholderiales; Oxalobacteraceae
Also listed under: 3 other names
Description: Bacterial small signal recognition particle RNA
Rfam family: Bacterial small signal recognition particle RNA
About the family: The signal recognition particle (SRP) is a universally conserved ribonucleoprotein involved in the co-translational targeting of proteins to membranes. Archaeal SRP consists of a 7S RNA and homologues of the eukaryotic SRP19 and SRP54 proteins.
Source: Rfam by way of RNAcentral